AUUGAACGCUGGCGGCAUGCCUUACACAUGCAAGUCGAACGGCAGCACGGGAGCAAUCCUGGUGGCGAGUGGCGAACGGGUGAGUAAAGUAUCGGAACGUGCCCAGUCGUGGGGGAUAACGUAGCGAAAGUUACGCUAAUACCGCAUACGAUCUAUGGAUGAAAGCGGGGGAUCGCAAGACCUCGCGCGAUUGGAGCGGCCGAUAUCAGAUUAGGUAGUUGGUGGGGUAAAGGCUCACCAAGCCGACGAUCUGUAGCUGGUCUGAGAGGACGACCAGCCACACUGGGACUGAGACACGGCCCAGACUCCUACGGGAGGCAGCAGUGGGGAAGUUUGGACAAUGGGCGAAAGCCUGAUCCAGCCAUGCCGCGUGCAGGAUGAAGGCCUUCGGGUUGUAAACCGCUUUUGUACGGAACGAAAAGGUUUGGCCUAAUAAGCUGAGCUCAUGACGGUACCGUAAGAAUAAGCACCGGCUAACUACGUGCCAGCCGCCGCGGUAA
RNAcentral lists this ribosomal RNA (500 nucleotides) under uncultured bacterium. RNAcentral's name for it is "partial 16S ribosomal RNA". It matches the Rfam family "Bacterial small subunit ribosomal RNA", at positions 30 to 523 of the family's 1533-position model. The record is from RNAcentral.